Molecule: long non-coding RNA, 289 nt
Filed under: Helianthus annuus (common sunflower)
Lineage: Eukaryota; Viridiplantae; Streptophyta; Magnoliopsida; Asterales; Asteraceae
Description: sRNA HanXRQr2_Chr11g0480831
Source: RNAcentral
UUAUUUUAAAUUUAAAUUUUGAAGUAAACCAUUAUUGUGUUUGAUUUUAAAUUUUGUAUGCUUUGAAAUCUUGAUGUUUUUUAUGAGAUGCUUUGGCUAUAUUAUUUGUAAUUUUAGGGAUGCUUCGAGUCUUUGACUAUUGUUUUUGUACUCGAGUUGCAUAUCUCACAAACUUUUUGUGUUUUGUAAUUUUAGGUGAAGAGCUUCUUUCAGACUCCUUCCCCUACAAGGAACUAUUGAAUGGGUUCCUAUGAGAAGUUGAAGAAAAGUUAUGGAUAAUGAAAACAAU